This is a small nuclear RNA of Equus asinus (donkey), 151 nucleotides long. Its record names the gene U4. It matches the Rfam family "U4 spliceosomal RNA". Rfam says of the family: U4 small nuclear RNA (U4 snRNA) is a component of the major U2-dependent spliceosome. The structure of U4 snRNA from yeast and human has been reported. The record is from Ensembl. NCBI's taxonomy places the organism in Eukaryota, Metazoa, Chordata, Mammalia, Perissodactyla, Equidae.
AGCUUUGCACAGUGGCAGUAUCAUAGCCAAUGAGGUUUACCUGAGGCGUGAUGAGUGCUAAUUAAAAUAGUAACUGCUAUAUUCCACUUCUCAACAUUAGAACGCUACACAGGAGGAAAGCAUCAGUGACCUAUGAUUUUCAAAAACAUGA